RNAcentral lists this ribosomal RNA (517 nucleotides) under Rhizoctonia solani. RNAcentral's name for it is "eukaryotic LSU rRNA". The stretch from base 195 to 348 matches the Rfam family "5.8S ribosomal RNA". The record is from RNAcentral. Lineage: Eukaryota; Fungi; Basidiomycota; Agaricomycetes; Cantharellales; Ceratobasidiaceae.
UCUAUUUAUUUAGGCAUGUGCACACCUCCCUCUUUCAUCCCACACACACCUGUGAACUUGUGAGACAGUUGGGGAAUUUAUUUGUUAUUUUUUGUAAUAAAAUGAUAAUAAGUCAUUGAACCCUUCUGUCUACUCAACUCAUAUAAAAUCAAUUUAUCUUAAAUGAAUGUAAUGGAUGUAACACAUCUCAUACUAAGUUUCAACAACGGAUCUCUUGGCUCUCGCAUCGAUGAAGAACGCAGCGAAAUGCGAUAAGUAAUGUGAAUUGCAGAAUUCAGUGAAUCAUCGAAUCUUUGAACGCACCUUGCGCUCCUUGGUAUUCCUUGGAGCAUGCCUGUUUGAGUAUCAUGAAAUCUUCAAAAUCAAUCUUUUUGUUAACUCAAUUAGUUUGAUUUUGGUAUUGGAGGUCUUUUGCAGCUUCACACCUGCUCCUCUUUGUGUAUUAGCUGGAUCUCAGUGUUAUGCUUGGUUCCACUCAGCGUGAUAAAUUAUCUAUCGCUGAGGACACUGUAAAAGG